CUGUUUUAAUGUUGUGCAAUGCAAAGAUGACAGACGUUGCUGUUUCAUCAGUUCCACAGAAGACCAAACGUCUAUCACAAACACAGACUACAGUCCUGUGACGUCAGGAAGUCUUUGUCAUCACCUUGGAAUGCAGCAACUGACAGAAACCUUUAAAAAAUUGUUUUUUCUUCUAAAAUGGGGUUUAAGGUCUGAAAAGAGUCUACUUUGUGUCUCUGGAAUCAUUAGGAAUCAUCAGUGAGAUCCUGCUGACUGUCAAUAACACAUCACAGUGCUGCUAUGGUGUCUGUCCAGACAGAAAGGCUGCUAUGCCACCAAUGAGACCGACGAAGACGAGGACGACGACCACAACCAGUCUGUGGAUUCAGACCCUUCAGUCCCAGAAGCCCCUGGAAGCUGAAGAUGAGGCCUGAAAGGAGAGGAAGACGUGGGAAACCAGAUCCAGGACUGAAGAGAGUUGAAACAUUUGAACAAGUUUAGUGAUUCAGCUUUCACUAAUGAAGCAUCAAGUAGCAACAUAAGUUGGUUUGACAGAAAUCCCACUUCAGUAAUUGAUCAAAAAAACUUUUAGGUCCUAAAAUAAAAAAGAUCUUAAAAAGUUGUGAUGAAGGUGAUGAAGCUCCUCCCCCUGUCUCUAAGGGUUCGUCCAGCCAACCUAUGGAGGAAGCUCAUUUCAACUGCUUGUAUUCUGGACCUGGUUCUGUGGGUCAUGACCCAUAGCUCAUGACUAUAGGUGAGAAUUGGAAAAAAGAUCAAUCAGUAAAUUGAAUGAAUGAAUGAAUGGAUUAAUGGAGUCGGGGUCUCCACCUGCAGCCUGGGCUCUGGAACUCAAUCCCUCCAGACGGGUUGGAUUUUCCACAUUCUGGAGUUGCUGAAGGUGUGAGGCAGCUGUCUGGUGGGGGCUUACUCUCCAGCCCCCAUUUCAAUCAUGUGGACUUUAAUGCCCAUGGGGGGAACAACAGUGGCGGCCAGAAGGACGUGAUGUGAACGGCCUCCCUGCUCUGAACCGGAGCUGCGUUCUCUUGUUGGACCUCGUCAUGGUUUGUCCGUGAACAGACACCAUGUUUGACCCCAAAGGUGUUCAGGUCAUUACACGUGGCUCCAGGAGUCAUGGUCUACUUUGGAACUGAUGAAAGAGGAACCUCUGGAUUUGAUAUUGCACAACAUAAGACAGUGAGGAGUCUGAGAAAGAUUUAGUUUUACUGACAAAAACAGAAACUGGUUUUAAAGAAUGAACCUGAUAUCUUGACGGUUGUAAAGAGGCUUAUGAAAAAAACUAACUCCGCUCCAUCCAAUAUGGGAUGAAAUGUUCUUGGCUGUCAUGAGAUGAAGGCGUUCCCUACAGACAUGGAACAAAGUUCUAUGUGAGCCCCGCCCACUUUGAGUCUGAUUUAAGGAUGAGACUCAGCCUCAACCAGCAGAACUUCAGCUUCAGCUGCUCUGUCUGGUCCUGCUCCAGACCGUCUUCAGAGGAAACAACUUCUCCCAGAAGUCUAAGGGAAGAAACUUUUGCUCCUUUUGCAACAAGCUCAGACAUUUAGCUUCAAGUCAACGACAACAUGUCAUACCUAGCACCAGUCAAGGUUGUUGGUGGAGAAGGAGGAACCCCGUUCAGUUAUAAUGUUGCAGACACUGGAGGUCAUCUUAAACGGCUUGAUGUGUGGGUCGGACCAGACCAUGUGACAUGUAUAAUGGUCGAGAUGACUGACGGCGUUUCAAAGAUAUUUGGGACCGCAAGCAACUGCGGUGAUUCAAUGACGUCUUUCACUUUUGAGGAUAAAGAAUAUUUUUCCUCCCUCACUCUUUGGCCCAACAGUACUGGAAAUCGCCUGGGUGGCAUUAAAUUCACAACAACGAAGGGCCAAAAUUUUGAGGUUGGCGCAACGAGUGGACAGCCGCCGACUGAAGUAGAUGUUGGCUCUGGAAUAUGUUUUGGAGUUAAGGGCAGGUCAACAGAUGACACUGAACUUAAUGCAUUUGGGUUCCUGUUCAUCAAAUUUUCUGCAUGAACCCGUUCUAGAGGGCUAGAACAGAUUUUUGGAUUUGCUGUCAUUUUUCCUGCUGUACUGAGAAACUCCUGAUGAUUUUCCUGUUAUUGUCACUGGAAUCCAAUGUUUCUGUUGUCCUCAUCAUCUCUUCUGGAAAUGGCAUUCUAUCAGUAAAUCUUGUUGGUGUGGACGCUGGAAAAAGCCCUUCAGUUCAUGUCAAAUCACUGUUUGUGCUCAUCUAGUCUGUAUGAUUUGGAAAAUAAAAACCUCAACCAAA
Molecule: long non-coding RNA, 2265 nt
Organism: Oryzias latipes (Japanese medaka)
Lineage: Eukaryota; Metazoa; Chordata; Actinopteri; Beloniformes; Adrianichthyidae
Source: RefSeq, a predicted model, not a curated record